GCUGGGUGUGGUGGCGGGUGCCUGUAAUCCCAGCUACUCGGGAGGCUGAGGCAGGAGAAUCGCUUGAACCCAGGAGGUGGGGGUUGCAGUGAGCCAAGAUCGUGCCACUGCACUCCAGCCUGGGUGACAAAGCGAGACUCCGUCUCAA
Molecule: non-coding RNA, 148 nt
Organism: Gorilla gorilla gorilla (western lowland gorilla)
Lineage: Eukaryota; Metazoa; Chordata; Mammalia; Primates; Hominidae
Rfam family: Metazoan signal recognition particle RNA
About the family: The signal recognition particle (SRP) is a universally conserved ribonucleoprotein. It is involved in the co-translational targeting of proteins to membranes. The eukaryotic SRP consists of a 300-nucleotide 7S RNA and six proteins: SRPs 72, 68, 54, 19, 14, and 9.
Source: Rfam